AGACCCCCCUUCAAGUUUGAUCCUGCCUCCGGCGGCUGGAUCUCGUCCUUAUAGUUUGAUCCUGGCGGGGGAGUGCGCGUGGGAAUCUACCUGGUGGUGGGGGACAACUUGGGGAAACUCAAGCUAAUACCGCAUACGCCCUACGGGGGAAAGGAGGGGCUCUUCGGACCUUUCGCUAUCAGAUGAGCCUGCGUAGGAUUAGCUAGUUGGUAGGGUAAAGGCCUACCAAGGCGACCAUCCUUAGCUGGUCUGAGAGGAUGAUCAGCCACACUGGGACUGAAACACGGCCCAGACUCCUACGGGAGGCAGCAGUGGGGAAUAUUGGACAAUGGGGGCAACCCUGAUCCAACCAUGCCGCGUGUGUGAAGAAGGCCUUCGGGUUGUAAAGCACUUUCAGUGGUGAGGAAGGGUGGGAAGUUAAUACCUUUAUACAUUGACGUUAGCCACAGAAGAAGCACCGGCUAACUCCGUGCCAGCAACCGCGGUAAUACGGAGGGUGCAAGCGUUAAUCGGAAUUACUGGGCGUAAAGCGCGCGUAGGUGGUUCAGUCAAUCAGAUGUGAAAACCCCGGGCUUAACCUGGGAAUUGCCCCUGAUACUGCUGAACUAGAAUACAGUAGAGGGGAGUGGAAAUUCCUGUGUAGCGGUGAAAUGCGUAAAUAUAAGAAAGAACACCAGUGGGGAAGGCGACUCUCUGGACUGAUACUGACACUGAGGUGGGAAAGCGUGGGGAGCAAACAGGAUUAGAUACCCUGGUAGUCCACGCUGUAAACGAUGUCAACUAGCCGUUGGGACACUUGAUGUCUUAGUGGCGCAGCUAACGCGAUAAGUUGACCGCCUGGGGAGUACGGUCGCAAGAUUAAAACUCAAAUGAAUUGACGGGGGCCCGCACAAGCGGUGGAGCAUGUGGUUUAAUUUGACGCAACGCGAAGAACCUUACCUACUCUUGACAUCCAGAGAACUUUCCAGAGAUGGAUUGGUGCCUUCGGGAACUCUGAGACAGGUGCUGCAUGGCUGUCGUCAGCUCGUGUUGUGAAAUGUUGGGUUAAGUCCCGUAACGAGCGCAACCCUUGUCCUUACUUGCCAGCGGGUAAUGCCGGGAACUUUAAGGAGACUGCCGGUGACAAACCGGAGGAAGGUGGGGACGACGUCAAGUCAUCAUGGCCCUUACGAGUAGGGCUACACACGUGCUACAAUGGCCGGUACAGAGGGCCGCGAUACCGCGAGGUGGAGCAAAUCUCAGAAAACCGGUCGUAGUCCGGAUCGCAGUCUGCAACUCGACUGCGUGAAGUCGGAAUCGCUAGUAAUCGCGAAUCAGAAUGUCGCGGUGAAUACGUUCCCGGGCCUUGUACACACCGCCCGUCACACCAUGGGAGUGGGUUGCACCAGAAGUAGCUAGUCUAACCUUCGGGGGGACGGUUACCACGGUGUGAUUCAUUGCGGGGGGAAGACCUCACUAGAGCGUUCCU
This 1468-nucleotide ribosomal RNA is filed under the name Nitrincola lacisaponensis. RNAcentral's name for it is "bacterial SSU rRNA". It matches the Rfam family "Bacterial small subunit ribosomal RNA". Lineage: Bacteria; Pseudomonadati; Pseudomonadota; Gammaproteobacteria; Oceanospirillales; Oceanospirillaceae. The record is from RNAcentral.